GAUGAAGAACGUAGCGAAAUGCGAUACGUAAUGUGAAUUGCAGAAUUCAGUGAAUCAUCGAAUCUUUGAACGCAUAUUGCGCUCUCUGGUAUUCCGGAGAGCAUGCUUGUUUGAGUAUCAGUAAACACCUCAACUUCCAUAUCUUUUUUGAAAUGGGAGUUGGACUUGAGUGAUCCCAACGCUUUUCCUCACCGAAAAGUGGCGGGUUACUUGAAAUGCAGGUGCAGCUGGACUUUUCUCUGAGCUAUAAGCAUAUCUAUUUAGUCUGCCUAAAAAACAGAUUAUUCCCUUUGCUGCAGCUAACAUAAAGGAGAUUAGUUCUUGUGCUGACUGAUGCAGGAUUCACAAAGACAGGCUUCGGCCGACUUUGUAAACUCGAUCUCAAAUCAAGUAAGACUACCCGCUGAACUUAAGCAUAUCAAUAAGCGGAGGA
RNAcentral lists this unclassified non-coding RNA (433 nucleotides) under soil metagenome. RNAcentral describes it as "partial contains 5.8S ribosomal RNA, internal transcribed spacer 2, and large subunit ribosomal RNA". The stretch from base 1 to 120 matches the Rfam family "5.8S ribosomal RNA", at positions 35 to 154 of the family's 154-position model. The record is from RNAcentral.